GGGCUCGCGGCCUAUCAGCUUGUUGGUGAGGUAAUGGCUCACCAAGGCGUCGACGGGUAGCCGGCCUGAGAGGGUGACCGGCCACACUGGGACUGAGACACGGCCCAGACUCCUACGGGAGGCAGCAGUGGGGAAUAUUGCACAAUGGGCGGAAGCCUGAUGCAGCAACGCCGCGUGAGGGAUGACGGCCUUCGGGUUGUAAACCUCUUUUAGCAGGGAAGAAGCGAAAGUGACGGUACCUGCAGAAAAAGCGCCGGCUAACUACGUGCCAGCAGCCGCGGUAAUACGUAGGGCGCAAGCGUUAUCCGGAAUUAUUGGGCGUAAAGAGCUCGUAGGCGGUUUGUCGCGUCUGCUGUGAAAUCCCGAGGCUCAACCUCGGGCCUGCAGUGGGUACGGGCAGACUAGAGUGCGGUAGGGGAGAUUGGAAUUCCUGGUGUAGCGGUGGAAUGCGCAGAUAUCAGGAGGAACACCGAUGGCGAAGGCAGAUCUCUGGGCCGUAACUGACGCUGAGGAGCGAAAGGGUGGGGAGCAAACAGGCUUAGAUACCCUGGUAGUCCACCCCGUAAACGUUGGGAACUAGUUGUGGGGACCAUUC
Molecule: ribosomal RNA, 595 nt
Filed under: Microbacterium sp.
Lineage: Bacteria; Bacillati; Actinomycetota; Actinomycetes; Micrococcales; Microbacteriaceae
Description: bacterial SSU rRNA
Rfam family: Bacterial small subunit ribosomal RNA
Source: RNAcentral